AGAUGAACCUAACCUAGGAAGGGAUUGCUAAAGGCUACUUGAAGGGUUCAUUUCUUUUAAUCUCCCUGUAAGCUGAAGGUGUUAAAUACCUCCCAGAAAACAUGGGCACACCACAGCUGGUAUCUUCAGGUAAACUGGGAGCCUCACCAAACAAAUAGGUCUCAGGUGCUCCAGAAAAAGCAGAAACAACUCAGGACCUGGAAGGUCAUGAGAGUUUCAGCUUCCCACUUAGUUCUCCCUCUUGCUGACUACCUCUCUAGUUACUAUUUAAUAAACUGUCUACUCUACACUUACCCAAGAUUUGCACUCAGUGGAAAGUGUUUCUUUACACUGCAAGUUACAGAGGACAGCAGCAUUUCUCCUGUGUAGUCAAGUGCUGUUCACUACCACUUAUGCAUCAUUAUGUGAUUAUGAAUACCAUUCCCCAAAGAGGAAGAGAGGAAGAAGAUGCAAAAGCAAACAAAAGAUCAUUUCACCGGAGCUGCCAGUAACACUCCAGAGCCUGGUGACAAAAGAACAGCAAAGAUUGCUUUGAAAUAAACAUAAUGAAUGAAAAAGAAGAAAAUCCCACAACAGAUGAAUGUGGGAAUUGAAGGCAGAGACCUGAGCCAAAUCAUCGGUUUAUGUGUGUUUCUGGAAUUACAAACUUAGAGAGAUGCUACCUCAAACCAGCCCUUCAAUGCAUUGCCACUGCCUUUUCCUGCACACCACAUUUCUGCAUCAGAUGGCAACACAUGCCAUUUCCCUAUUUAGUGCUGUACCUUAACCACACAGCAGCUGGCAAAUCCAAGUCAGAAGCUCCCUCCAUAGCCAGUGAGUUUGCCCUAGGUGCAUGCAAAGCACGGCUGCCAGGCGCAGCAGCUCCCUCACUGCAGUACCCAGCCCUCUGGCCAGCAGUCAGUGCCAGCUGAGCCAGGAUGUUACGAGUAG
Anas platyrhynchos (mallard) is the source of this 930-nucleotide non-coding RNA. The record is from RefSeq and is a predicted model, not a curated record. NCBI's taxonomy places the organism in Eukaryota, Metazoa, Chordata, Aves, Anseriformes, Anatidae.